CGGGAUGUAGCUCAGCCCGGUAGAGUCCAUGUCUGGGGGACAUGUUGUCGCAGGUUCAAAUCCUGUCAUCCCGA
Molecule: transfer RNA, 74 nt
Filed under: Prevotellaceae bacterium
Lineage: Bacteria; Pseudomonadati; Bacteroidota; Bacteroidia; Bacteroidales; Prevotellaceae
Description: tRNA-Pro
Rfam family: tRNA
About the family: Transfer RNA (tRNA) molecules are approximately 80 nucleotides in length. Their secondary structure includes four short double-helical elements and three loops (D, anti-codon, and T loops).
Source: RNAcentral